Molecule: long non-coding RNA, 322 nt
Organism: Dermochelys coriacea (leatherback sea turtle)
Lineage: Eukaryota; Metazoa; Chordata; Testudines; Dermochelyidae
Exons: 4
Source: RefSeq, a predicted model, not a curated record
UGGAGAAGUGCUGUGGUGGGUUAAGACUACCAAGAUCCUAGGGUUACCAUAUGUUGGGGGUUUCUCAGAGAUUGCUUCUUAUUGGAAACUUCCACCCAGAUGGAGGUUGCUCCCAUACAGCUCUAUCCCAUCAGUGACAUGGAGAUACCCACAGUGUGUAUCUUGGUGCUUAAUUACGGGAGAAGAACCAAAACAAUUCUGGCCUGAAAAGAAUAAAGAUCUGGAAAAUUUGAAGAAACUUUUGUCAAGAUCUCUACGCUAACAGAACAGGAUUACCAGUUUAUAUGAAUAAUAAGAGUUAUGUCACCAAGGAUGAAAAAAU